CCUACGGGGGGCAGCAGUGGGGAAUAUUGCACAAUGGGCGCAAGCCUGAUGCAGCCAUGCCGCGUGUGUGAAGAAGGCCUUCGGGUUGUAGAGCACUUUCAGCGGGGAGGAAGGCGGUGAGGUUAAUAACCUCAUCGAUUGACGCUACCCGCAGAAGAAGCACCGGCUAACUCCGGGCCAGCAGCCGCGGUAAUACGGAGGGUGCAAGCGUUAAUCGGAAUUACUGGGCGUAAAGCGCACGCAGGCGGUCUGGCAAGUCGGAUGUGAAAUCCCCGGGCUCAACCUGGGAACUGCAUUCGAAACUGGCAGGCUAGAGUCUUGUAGAGGGGGGUAGAAUUCCAGGUGUAGCGGUGAAAUGCGUAGAGAUCUGGAGGAAUACCGGUGGCGAAGGCGGCCCCCUGGACAAAGACUGACGCUCAGGUGCGAAAGCGUGGGGAGCAAACAGGAUUAGAUACCCUUGUAGUC
RNAcentral lists this ribosomal RNA (465 nucleotides) under uncultured Klebsiella sp. RNAcentral describes it as "bacterial SSU rRNA". It matches the Rfam family "Bacterial small subunit ribosomal RNA", at positions 338 to 795 of the family's 1533-position model. The record is from RNAcentral. Lineage: Bacteria; Pseudomonadati; Pseudomonadota; Gammaproteobacteria; Enterobacterales; Enterobacteriaceae.